This 200-nucleotide ribosomal RNA is filed under the name uncultured bacterium. RNAcentral's name for it is "partial 16S ribosomal RNA". It matches the Rfam family "Bacterial small subunit ribosomal RNA", at positions 29 to 226 of the family's 1533-position model. The record is from RNAcentral.
AGUGAACGCUGGCGGCAGGCCUAACACAUGCAAGUCGAGCGGCAGCGCGGUGUAGCAAUACACUGGCGGCGAGCGGCGGACGGGUGAGGAAUGCGUCGGAAUCUGCCUCUUUGUGGGGGAUAACGUAGGGAAACUUACGCUAAUACCGCAUACGACCUACGGGUGAAAGUGGGGGACCUUCGGGCCUCACGCAGAGAGGU